Neltuma alba is the source of this 900-nucleotide long non-coding RNA. RefSeq lists it as uncharacterized. The record is from RefSeq and is a predicted model, not a curated record. The transcript has 2 exons. NCBI's taxonomy places the organism in Eukaryota, Viridiplantae, Streptophyta, Magnoliopsida, Fabales, Fabaceae.
CAAUCACCUGAAAACUUGAUUAAAAUUUAAGCGCCCUCAAUUAAAAAUGGGGUAACUGCACAUUAAUUUUUCCCAAGUAAAAUGAUAUUAUAAAGACAAUUUUUCGUUUGAUCAUGGAAGCCAUCUCUUUCCCACCACAACAGCAGAGUCAACAUCCCACGAAUUCCCAGAAAGGCUGUAAGAGUGAGAAUGCAGCCCCCCUUCUCUUGCCUCCACCCUUAUUUUUCCCUUCCUCUCGUCCUAUGUUGUAUAUAAUAAAUUGUACUCCUCCUCCCCCUCAACACUCACCUCAUCCUCUUCGCUCGCUUUCUAUUUGGUCCUCAAUUUACCACCAAUACCAAUCCCCCCCCCCCGGCUUACCAUCUCUAUUCUAGACAUGACCAACGUGGUGGAAGUGAAAGUCGGUUUGCACUGUGACGACUGUAUCAAGAAAAUCCUCAAAGCCAUCAAGAAGAUCCAAGGUACGUGCUGGUCCAUCCUACUUCCCUCAGGAUCUAAAUUAAUUAUAACAGCUUCCUGCUUCCUUGUUGGUCACAAUAAUUCGAAUUCUUGGUUUAGCAGAUAUUGAGACCUAUAACGUGGACACGCAGCUAAACAAGGUCACCGUUACAGGAAACGUCACAACGGAACAAGUCAUUAGAGUUCUCCACAAGAUUGGAAAGAACGCCACCGCCUGGGACCAAUUCACGUCAAAUUGAACCCUCAACGAUCAACUCUCAGUUCUAUAUUACAAAUGACUCUGCAGGCGCGACAUGAUACAAUCAGUGAAAAAUCUGUAGUAGGCACUAGUAGUAUCUUUGAAGAGAUUAGAUGCACAUAAUCCUGCCAUCUUUCGCCUUCUUCAGCAGGAUACCGUUAUAAUAUUCAGUUUUUACCAACAUAAAAAGGAACUUGACUUCA